AACCCGGUGACAGGUGCUGCAUGGCUGUCGUCAGCUCGUGUCGUGAGAUGUUGGGUUAAGUCCCGCAACGAGCGCAACCCUUGUCAUUAGUUGCUACCGCAAGGAGCACUCUAAUGAGACUGCCGGUGACAAACCGGAGGAAGGUGGGGAUGACGUCAGGUCCUCAUGGCCCUUAUGGGUAGGGCUACACACGUCAUACAAUGGCCGGUACAGAGGGCUGCCAACCCGCGAGGGGGAGCCAAUCCCAGAAAACCGGUCGUAGUCCGGAUCGUAGUCUGCAACUCGACUGCGUGAAGUCGGAAUCGCUAGUAAUCGCGGAUCAGCUUGCCGCGGUGAAUACGUUCCCGGGUCUU
Molecule: ribosomal RNA, 353 nt
Filed under: uncultured Aquabacterium sp.
Lineage: Bacteria; Pseudomonadati; Pseudomonadota; Betaproteobacteria; Burkholderiales; Sphaerotilaceae
Description: bacterial SSU rRNA
Rfam family: Bacterial small subunit ribosomal RNA
Source: RNAcentral